CCAGUGUUAGCUCAGUUGGAAGAGCAGUGGAUUGUAGUAGUAUGAUAUAGAUCUCCACGGGUCGGGUGUUCGAAUCAUCCACACUGGA
This 88-nucleotide transfer RNA is filed under the name Ostreococcus lucimarinus virus 1. RNAcentral's name for it is "tRNA-Tyr". It matches the Rfam family "tRNA". Rfam says of the family: Transfer RNA (tRNA) molecules are approximately 80 nucleotides in length. Their secondary structure includes four short double-helical elements and three loops (D, anti-codon, and T loops). Lineage: Varidnaviria; Bamfordvirae; Nucleocytoviricota; Megaviricetes; Algavirales; Phycodnaviridae. The record is from RNAcentral. RNAcentral also lists the same sequence under 1 other name.